RNA transcript from Lucilia cuprina (Australian sheep blowfly), 1403 nucleotides. It is a transcript of the gene named nucleoporin seh1, with no coding region annotated. The record is from RefSeq and is a predicted model, not a curated record. NCBI's taxonomy places the organism in Eukaryota, Metazoa, Arthropoda, Insecta, Diptera, Calliphoridae. The transcript has 6 exons.
UUUUCCCAUUGUUUUUUUUGUUUACAGUUGUGUUUUAUUUUUGCGGUGUCCAAAAAGUUGUUAAAAUUAAGAAAACUAAAUAAAAAAAAAUUACAAAAAAUGUUUGAAGUAGAAUCCAUUGUUGUUGAUCACAAAGAUGUUAUACACGAUGUAGUGUUCGAUUAUUAUGGCCGCCGCAUGGCCACUUGUUCCAGUGACCAAACAGUUAAAAUAUGGGAUGAAAAUGAACAGGGCAAAUGGUCGGUAACCUCCAGUUGGAAAGCACAUUCCGGUUCUAUAUGGCGGGUAUCUUGGGCUCAUCCGGAAUUUGGUCAAGUUUUAGCCUCGUGUUCUUUCGAUCGUACUGCCUCGGUAUGGGAAGAAGUAUUGGGAGAAAAAGUUGCCGCUACCAUGACUCCUGCCAGACGUUGGGUUAAACGUACAGUUUUAGUGGAUUCACGCACCAGUGUUACUGAUGUGGAGUUUGCUCCCAAAUAUUUAGGUUUACUAUUGGCUACAGCAUCAGCAGAUGGUGUUAUUCGUAUUUAUGAAGCGCCUGAUAUAAUGAAUUUAAGUAAUUGGCCGGUUCAACAUGAAAUCACAAAUAAAAUGGCUUUAAGUUGUUUGUCUUGGAAUACAUCAACCUAUAAGUUGUCGUCACAAUUAUUAGCGGCCGGCAGUGAUGAAACUGCUACUAUUACCGGCAAAGUGUUUAUAUUUGCCUAUAGUGAAAAUGCCAGAAAGUGUGUUAAGGUGGAUACGAUUAAUGAUAUAACUGAUCCUGUUACAGAUUUGGCUUUUGCUCCAAAUGCUGGUCGUAGUUUUCAUAUGUUGGCAGUGGCCAGUAAAGAUUUAUAUAUUGUUAAUAUACGAGGAGUAUCUGAUGGUUCCGGUAAUUCCAAACUUGAUAUACAAACAGUUAAACAUACCGAUCAUAAUUGUCCCGUUUGGAGGGUUUGUUGGAAUAUGUUAGCAACCAUGUUAAUAUCAACAGGUGAUGAUGGCUGUGUGCGCAUUUGGAAAAUGAACUAUAGCAGAAAAUGGAAAUGCGCAGCAGUUUUGAAAGCUGAAGGCAGUGGUCCUUCCUAUGAGCCGGCUCUUAACUCUCCAACAUUUACCACAUCUGCCGCUGCUACUGCUAAAUAUUAUAAAAAAGGCAUUAUUAGCAAUCCCAAUCAAGUGCCAUGGCAUUAAAUCGAAAGAAAAAAACAAUUUAUUAAAACACCAAAUUUAUUGCACACACAAACACAAAUCAAACAACUCAAGCUACCAACAACAAGAAAAGGGAUGUUUGAAUUAACCUCAAUAUGCAAUUGAUGAUUUAUACAGCAAAAAACUAAUGGUUUGUAAGCAACAGAAAUUGAAGAUAUUGAAAUUAAUUUAUGAAUAUUCAUAAAAUGUAUCUGCAAUCAAGAAAAAAACAG